This 494-nucleotide ribosomal RNA is filed under the name uncultured bacterium. RNAcentral describes it as "partial 16S ribosomal RNA". It matches the Rfam family "Bacterial small subunit ribosomal RNA", at positions 28 to 507 of the family's 1533-position model. The record is from RNAcentral.
GACGAACGCUGGCGGCGUGCUUAACACAUGCAAGUCGAACGGUAAAGCGCCUUCCUCUUUGUUGGGUGUGGAUGAGUGGCGAACGGGGGAGUAACAAGUGAGUAACCUGCCUCCUUCUUCUGGAUAACGUCGUGAAAGUGUCGCUAAUACGGGAUAUGCUGUGCCUGUGGCAUGAUGGGUUUUUGGAAGAUUGUGUUUCUGUGUGGGAUGAGCUCGCGGCGUAUCAGCUGGUUGGUGGGGUGAUGGCCUACCAACGCGGUGCGGGGUAGCCGGCCUGAGAGGGUGGGCGGCAACACUAGGACGGAGACACGCACAAGACUACUACGGGCGGCAGCAGUGGGGAAUAUUGCAAAAUGGGAGGAAGGAUGCUGCCGCAACGCGGCGGGGGAGAUGGCGGCCGGGUGGUAGUGACCCUCUUUCGCCAGUGAAGAGGACCUGCCUAGUUUGUGGGUGGGUUGACGGUAGCUGAAGAAGAAGCACCGGCUAACUACGUG